UACGUAGGGUGCAAGCGUUAAUCGGAAUUACUGGGCGUAAAGCGUGCGCAGGCGGCUUUGCAAGACAGAUGUGAAAUCCCCGGGCUUAACCUGGGAACCGCAUCUGUGACUGCAUAGCUGGAGUACGGCAGAGGGGGAUGGAAUUCCGCGUGUAGCAGUGAAAUGCGUAGAUAUGCGGAGGAACACCGAUGGCGAAGGCAGUCCCCUGGGCCUGUACUGACGCUCAUGCACGAAAGCGUGGGGAGCAAACAGG
RNAcentral lists this ribosomal RNA (253 nucleotides) under uncultured bacterium. RNAcentral's name for it is "partial 16S ribosomal RNA". It matches the Rfam family "Bacterial small subunit ribosomal RNA", at positions 524 to 776 of the family's 1533-position model. The record is from RNAcentral.